AAUUAUUAAGCUUUGAAAUAGCAUUUGUUUUGAAAACUUAAGAAAGAUAAUUAUUAUCUAAUAAUUU
This 67-nucleotide transfer RNA is filed under the name Lepidostoma longipilosum. RNAcentral's name for it is "tRNA-Ser". Lineage: Eukaryota; Metazoa; Arthropoda; Insecta; Trichoptera; Lepidostomatidae. The record is from RNAcentral.